ACAGUUCGCGCCACACACCCAACUACCCCAACGUACGUCAAAUAGCUGGAAGUCACCCCAUCCCCAUCGCAGCGAUAGGGGCUUUGUCCGCCGCCUUGAGACCGCGGAGGGUUCUGCCUGACGGCGCAUGAUGUCGCCCCCCGCAGAGAAGAGAAGAGCGAUAUCCACACACGAAGAGUGGCACAGGAAGUAUCGAAAACACGGAAUGGUGAGUCCCAUGGAAAACGGAAUUUCUCCUGGGACGGCGGGCCGAAUCAGUGUUGUUGAUUGACAUUAGGGCGAGAUAUGGAAAUGAAGUGCCGCUAAUUACCGGCGUCAGCACGCGACUCAAGCAGAGGCGGCAGUUAAAACAAAAUUAAUUGUCGACGUUAUUCCACCUGAGACCUACAGGUGAAAAGCCUGCUAGGUGCCAUUCCAUAUGUGAUUAACUUAAUUAAAUUUCCAAUCGAUAAUGAAUGAAAAUUUGAUGUUGAGGGUAUGUUGUUUGUUGCAAGCUAUAACAAGUGU
This is a long non-coding RNA of Haliotis rufescens (red abalone), 507 nucleotides long. RefSeq lists it as uncharacterized. The record is from RefSeq and is a predicted model, not a curated record. Lineage: Eukaryota; Metazoa; Mollusca; Gastropoda; Lepetellida; Haliotidae. The transcript has 3 exons.